This is a long non-coding RNA of Cyprinus carpio carpio, 1788 nucleotides long. Lineage: Eukaryota; Metazoa; Chordata; Actinopteri; Cypriniformes; Cyprinidae. The record is from Ensembl.
UGACUGCUGGAAAUUCAGCUAUAAGUAUAAUAUAUUAAAACAGAAAGCAGCUGUUUUAAGUUGUAAUAAUAUUUCACAAUAUUACUGUUUUUACUGUAUGUUUGAUCAAAUAAAUGCAGCCUUGGUGAGCAUAAAAGACUACUUUCAACAACAUAAAAAAAAAAUCUUAUCAACCUAACAGCAGUGCAAAUAUAUAAAUAAUACAAAUGGAAAUACAAAUGUAAUUAAUUUUCAUUGUGGAAUUUAAUAUUUCUCAAAACUGAAAAAUGAUUUGAUUUUAUGUGACCUUAACAUAUUAUUUCCAAAUCUUUGCCACAUCCUGUUUUUAUGUUGUUGUAUUUGAUGGAUAUCUACGGCUAAGCACAAAGAUGGCUAACUGUGAGUCAUGCUAAACAAGAAAGACAUCCAAACCACGAAUGAAGAGAGUUUGAGGGACAUGCUUCAAAAUCCCAGAGUGAAUCUGCACAGGAGGAUUGUGACAGUAAAGACGACUCUGUGGUUAUGGGAGGCUCAUGGUGAAUAUGACGGCAGAGAGCAGUCCUGCCCUCACAUCUCCCUCUACAGCUGCUUUCAACCGGAAAGAUGAGAGCUGAAGUCUGACUGAAGUGACAGCACGUCUGGAAAAAGCACUUCUGUGUGUCCUUGAGCAGCCGGGAGAGAAAAGUCCCUUGAUGUCUGAGUAGGUGUCCAAGAACAGUAGGAGCUUGAUGUGGCUCCAGAAACUACCACGGAGUGUGCCAGUGGCUCAUGGUGCAGCACGAGCAUGACAUGACAAGAGCAAUUUAUCAAACUAUUACUCAUGUAAUGUGCUCUUAACUGGAAGCGGCAUGUGCAUACAUAUCGUCAUAAAUGUCUGGAGAGCGAGGACACCGUGCCUGCCAUCAUCACUGGAGGAGCAAGAAUAACUACCCUCAUCACUGACGAAUACAAGACAUUUAGAUUUAUGAGUCUGACUGAAGCUCUCUCAGGAAUACUGAUGUCUCUGUGGAAACGAAUGGACUUAAGCACGUGUGAACGCAUUCAUGCAUUGCCAUGUCUCACUGAUGGCUGAUGCCAUCCUUGUUUGCAUGUGAAAUGAGAAAAUGCAGGCCUGAGGACAAGAUUUUGUUGUCCCUGAUCAUCUUGACAUCCUACUGUAUCUGUAAUGGUGUGAUAAAGUAAGUGUUAUAUGUCCACACUGAUCUGAUUAUUAGGCUUUUUACAACAACAGUACGGCCCCUGCUAUGCAUCUGCUUUAUUGUAAUAAUGCGAGUCACAGUGGGAAGAAGUUUAGCUGAUUUAUUUCAUCUGAGAAGAGCUGAGGUGAUGUUUUCUCUAUGAUGGCAUAUAUCCCUAAUGUUAUUUUCCCCCAGUUGUCCUUCUGUUUCAAAACCAGUGAGCUCAAGAUGGCUCCUCUCUUACUGUGCGGCAUGAAGAACAUCUGCUGGAAUGUUCCCCGGCCUCAUAAAAAAAUUAAACACUUUCUAGAUGUUUUUCUUUAAGGGGUAUCAACAAAAAAAUUGGCAUUGACAGACACAUUGGCAAAUACUCAAACUGUACAGUAUAUUACAGCUACGGUUUCAAUCCACGCUGUUACAUUUUUAAAAGUCAGUAGUCUACAUCUGCUGUUCCACUUGAAAUCAUCUGUCAGUCAAUCACUUAACAAAACAAAAAUCUCAUUCAAUAUAGUAGAUAGAGAGAGAGAGAGAGAGAGAGAGAGAGAGAGAGAGAGAGAGAGAGAGAGAGAGAGAGAGAGAGAGAGAGAGAGAGAGAGAGAGAGAGAACAGCUUAAGGAAAUACUGAAAACAA